GUGGGAAACGAUGUGGGAAGGCCCAGACAGCCAGGAUGUUGGCUUAGAAGCAGCCAUCAUUUAAAGAAAGCGUAAUAGCUCACUGGUCGAGUCGGCCUGCGCGGAAGAUGUAACGGGGCUAAACCAUGCACCGAAGCUGCGGCAGCGACACUGUGUGUUGUUGGGUAGGGGAGCGUUCUGUAAGCCUGUGAAGGUGUGUCGUGAGGCAUGCUGGAGGUAUCAGAAGUGCGAAUGCUGACAUAAGUAACGAUAAAGCGGGUGAAAAGCCCGCUCGCCGGAAGACCAAGGGUUCCUGUCCAACGUUAAUCGGGGCAGGGUGAGUCGACCCCUAAGGCGAGGCCGAAAGGCGUAGUCGAUGGGAAACGGGUUAAUAUUCCCGUACUUGGUGUUACUGCGAAGGGGGGACGGAGAAGGCUAUGUUGGCCGGGCGACGGUUGUCCCGGUUUAAGCGUGUAGGUGUGUGUUCCAGGUAAAUCCGGUUCACUUUAACACUGAGGCGUGACGACGAGGCACUACGGUGCUGAAGCAACAAAUGCCCUGCUUCCAGGAAAAGCCUCUAAGCAUCAGGUAACAUCAAAUCGUACCCCAAACCGACACAGGUGGUCAGGUAGAGAAUACCAAGGCGCUUGAGAGAACUCGGGUGAAGGAACUAGGCAAAAUGGUGCCGUAACUUCGGGAGAAGGCACGCUGACACGUAGGUGAAGUGAUUUACUCAUGGAGCUGAAGUCAGUCGAAGAUACCAGCUGGCUGCAACUGUUUAUUAAAAACACAGCACUGUGCAAACACGAAAGUGGACGUAUACGGUGUGACGCCUGCCCGGUGCCGGAAGGUUAAUUGAUGGGGUCAGCGCAAGCGAAGCUCCUGAUCGAAGCCCCGGUAAACGGCGGCCGUAACUAUAACGGUCCUAAGGUAGCGAAAUUCCUUGUCGGGUAAGUUCCGACCUGCACGAAUGGCGUAAUGAUGGCCAGGCUGUCUCCACCCGAGACUCAGUGAAAUUGAACUCGCUGUGAAGAUGCAGUGUACCCGCGGCAAGACGGAAAGACCCCGUGAACCUUUACUAUAGCUUGACACUGAACAUUGAGCCUUGAUGUGUAGGAUAGGUGGGAGGCUUUGAAGUGUGGACGCCAGUCUGCAUGGAGCCGACCUUGAAAUACCACCCUUUAAUGUUUGAUGUUCUAACGUGGACCCGUUACCCGGGUUGCGGACAGUGUCUGGUGGGUAGUUUGACUGGGGCGGUCUCCUCCUAAAGAGUAACGGAGGAGCACGAAGGUUGGC
Molecule: ribosomal RNA, 1275 nt
Filed under: Salmonella enterica
Lineage: Bacteria; Pseudomonadati; Pseudomonadota; Gammaproteobacteria; Enterobacterales; Enterobacteriaceae
Description: partial 23S ribosomal RNA
Rfam family: Bacterial large subunit ribosomal RNA
Source: RNAcentral